Molecule: long non-coding RNA, 869 nt
Organism: Hypanus sabinus (Atlantic stingray)
Lineage: Eukaryota; Metazoa; Chordata; Chondrichthyes; Myliobatiformes; Dasyatidae
Exons: 3
Source: RefSeq, a predicted model, not a curated record
UAAGCAGACUGUGGAAGGCCUGUGAAGAUAGAGAGUAAAACGAAUGCAGCAAAAUGCAGGGAAAUCCUGGUGCAGUCUGCAAGAGAACUGUACUUGGGAGAAGGUUUGUUUUCCAACAAGACAAUGAUCCCAAGCAUAAAGCCAAAGCUACACAGGAAUGACUUAAAAACAACAAAGUUAAUGUCCUGGAGGGGCAAAGUCAGAGUCCAGACCUCAAUCCAAGGAGAAUUUGUGGUUGGACUUGAAAAGGGUUGUUCAUUCACGAUCCCCAUGCAGCCUGACAGAACUUGAGCAGUUUGUAAAGAAGAAUGGGGAAAAGUUGCAGUGUCCAGAUGUGCAAAGCUGAUGGAGACCUAUCCACACAGACUCAAGGCUGUAAUUGCUGCUGAAGGUGCAUCUACUAAAUACUGACUUGAAGAGGAGCAUAAGAGACAAAGGCCAAGAGCUCAGACAGCAAGCGCACAGUUGCUCCGGUAACCCUCCUGACCUCAGUUACCAUUGGUUGUCUGACCUGUCUAUCUUCAUCCAACUCUAUGAGAAAGACAACUGGUGGUCGGCACCCCAUGGGAGAAGAACGGAGACGGGAGGCACCUGGCGGUAAUGGUUCUGUCUCAACUUUGCUCACCUGACCUGGAACAUCUAGCGAUCAAAUGACAUCCAUUUUAUCUGCCGAGGGAGUUUUCUGCCAUCAUCCUGGUAGUGGUGCACAUUCCACCUCUGACCAACAUCAGGCAACAUCAGGAGCUGAAUCAACAGUCACAAAACAAUGCAUCCUGAUGCCUUUCCAAACACUGCAGGGGGAAUCUCAACUAAGCCAACUUGAAGGAGUCUCCACCAGCAAUGAUGUCACCUGAGGAACCAGAGGCACC